Molecule: long non-coding RNA, 280 nt
Organism: Gossypium arboreum
Lineage: Eukaryota; Viridiplantae; Streptophyta; Magnoliopsida; Malvales; Malvaceae
Exons: 2
Source: RefSeq, a predicted model, not a curated record
GGUGAAAAUAACAAGGCCAUUUUCUUCUUCUUCUUGCCGUGAGUUGAGAAAGAAAAUAGAAACCUUUGAGCUUAGGGCAUUUGGCAAAGAAGGCUUCAAAUAAGGUUGUGGAUUCUGACUACUAGCUCGGGGAUCGUCAGCACUUUAUCACACUAUCUACCAUUACGGUAGCCAUGAGAUUGGAUUAUCUUAUGGCAUGUAUAGAAUAAUUUGGUUAUUGUAUAUAAGCCAUGCGAAAAUGACAUCUUUUGAAUGUUUACUUAUAGAAGUUUACAUUUUA